AUUGAACGCUGGCGGCAGGCCUAACACAUGCAAGUCGAACGGCAGCACAGAAGAGCUUGCUCUUUGGGUGGCGAGUGGCGGACGGGUGAGUAAUGUCUGGGAAACUGCCCGAUGGAGAGGGAUAACUACUGGAAACGGUAGCUAAUACCGCAUAACGUCGCAAGACCAAAGUGGGGGACCUUAGGGCCCACCACCAUCGGAUGUGCCCAGAUGGGAUUAGCUAGUAGGUGGGGUAAUGGCUCACCUAGGCGACGAUCCCUAGCUGGUCUGAGAGGAUGACCAGCCACACUGGAACUGAGACACGGUCCAGACUCCUACGGGAGGCAGCAGUGGGGAAUAUUGCACAAUGGGCGCAAGCCUGAUGCAGCCAUGCCGCGUGUAUGAAGAAGGCCUUCGGGUUGUAAAGUACUUUCAGCGGGGAGGAAGGCGGUGAGGUUAAUAACCUCGCCGAUUGACGUUACCCGCAGAAGAAGCACCGGCUAACUCCGUGCCAGCCGCCGCCGUAA
Molecule: ribosomal RNA, 506 nt
Filed under: uncultured bacterium
Lineage: Bacteria
Description: partial 16S ribosomal RNA
Rfam family: Bacterial small subunit ribosomal RNA
Source: RNAcentral